Triticum aestivum (bread wheat) is the source of this 133-nucleotide non-coding RNA. The record is from Rfam. NCBI's taxonomy places the organism in Eukaryota, Viridiplantae, Streptophyta, Magnoliopsida, Poales, Poaceae.
UAAACACUCCCUGCAUCCCAAAAUUCUUGUCUUAGAUUCGUCUAGAUACGGAUGCAUCUAAUACUAAAACAUAACUUGAUACAUCUGUAUAGACAAAUCUAAGACAAGAAUUUUGGGACGAAGGGAGUAUAAG